This 306-nucleotide ribosomal RNA is filed under the name Triticum aestivum (bread wheat). RNAcentral describes it as "partial small subunit ribosomal RNA". Lineage: Eukaryota; Viridiplantae; Streptophyta; Magnoliopsida; Poales; Poaceae. The record is from RNAcentral.
AUGGUCGGCGGGCCCAACAACGUCCUCCCCGACCUGGCCACCAGAGCGCCCGCGGCGGCCGCGGGGUCGGCGCCAACAUCCAGGCCCACCCGGCCGUCUCAUUCUGGGAACAACUCGUCGGCAACGAGGUCGCCGGGGGCGACACGCAGUAUGUGGGCCCUGCCAUGGAGAACGUCCACAUCGCGCUUGUGGCGAACGGUCUGGGCGGCGCAAUCAAUGUCACGAUGGCGAUAUCACAGGCCACCAUCGCCAUACACGUCUCACCGUCCGCCAGCGAGUUCACCAACGAGUCCAAGCCGUUCAUGA